This is a long non-coding RNA of Triticum dicoccoides, 411 nucleotides long. RefSeq lists it as uncharacterized. The transcript has 2 exons. The record is from RefSeq and is a predicted model, not a curated record. Lineage: Eukaryota; Viridiplantae; Streptophyta; Magnoliopsida; Poales; Poaceae.
CCCAGCUGAUGCUGCAGAUGGGCGUGCCAUGUGGGAGGUGCGCCGGUGGCUGGGAUCCAUCACUUCUGUUCACCAGAUUGUAUAUUGGAGGGAGGGGAGGAGAACCUGCAGGGGUGGUCUGUACGAGCAUCUUUCCGACGAUGACGACGUUUGGUUGGGUUCCCUUGGUAGCAUGGGCAUGAGAUCACCCAACUCCUCGAUCAAUCCCUGCUGUCAAGAUCCUGCAAGUCUUGCUUGGCUAUCAGCUGUAGUACAGGUUGACUUUCUCUUGCUUUGGUUGUCUGCGUUUUAAUGGACGUUUCCUCAUCUGACUACCCAAGGGAAACUAGAUACAUUGCGUGAUGCAGAUCAAUAGAGAGUAGACCAGGUAGGCAGGAUAAAAAUAUGAAAUAAUAAUGUUUGUUCUUUGUU